GCACAAGCGGUGGAUGAUGUGGAUUAAUUCGAUGCAACGCGAAAACCUUACCUACCUUGACAUGUCCGGAAUCCCGAAGAGAUUUGGGAGUGCUCGCAAGAGAGCCGGAACACAGGUGCUGCAUGGCUGUCGUCAGCUCGUGUCGUGAGAUGUUGGGUUAAGUCCCGCAACGAGCGCAACCCUUGUCAUUAGUUGCCAUCAUUUGGUUGGGCACUCUAAUGAGACUGCCGGUGACAAACCGGAGGAAGGUGGGGAUGACGUCAAGUCCUCAUGGCCCUUAUGGGUAGGGCUUCACACGUCAUACAAUGGUCGGUACAGAGGGUUGCCAACCCGCGAGGGGGAGCUAAUCCCACAAAGCCGAUCGUAGUCCGGAUCGCAGUCUGCAACUCGACUGCGUGAAGUCGGAAUCGCUAGUAAUCGUGGAUCAGCAUGUCACGGUGAAUACGUUCCCGGGUCUU
RNAcentral lists this ribosomal RNA (458 nucleotides) under uncultured Rhodocyclaceae bacterium. RNAcentral's name for it is "bacterial SSU rRNA". It matches the Rfam family "Bacterial small subunit ribosomal RNA", at positions 923 to 1382 of the family's 1533-position model. Lineage: Bacteria; Pseudomonadati; Pseudomonadota; Betaproteobacteria; Rhodocyclales; Rhodocyclaceae. The record is from RNAcentral.